GUCGAGCGGUAGAGAGGAGCUUGCUCCUCUUGAGAGCGGCGGACGGGUGAGUAAUGCCUAGGAAUCUGCCUGGUAGUGGGGGAUAACGUUCGGAAACGGACGCUAAUACCGCAUACGUCCUACGGGAGAAAGCAGGGGACCUUCGGGCCUUGCGCUAUCAGAUGAGCCUAGGUCGGAUUAGCUAGUUGGUGAGGUAAUGGCUCACCAAGGCGACGAUCCGUAACUGGUCUGAGAGGAUGAUCAGUCACACUGGAACUGAGACACGGUCCAGACUCCUACGGGAGGCAGCAGUGGGGAAUAUUGGACAAUGGGCGAAAGCCUGAUCCAGCCAUGCCGCGUGUGUGAAGAAGGUCUUCGGAUUGUAAAGCACUUUAAGUUGGGAGGAAGGGCAGUAAAUUAAUACUUUGCUGUUUUGACGUUACCGACAGAAUAAGCACCGGCUAACUCUGUGCCAGCAGCCGCGGUAAUACGGAGGG
RNAcentral lists this ribosomal RNA (476 nucleotides) under bacterium ANR21A. Its description in RNAcentral is "bacterial SSU rRNA". It matches the Rfam family "Bacterial small subunit ribosomal RNA", at positions 61 to 532 of the family's 1533-position model. The record is from RNAcentral.